UGUCACCAGUCUUGUUCAGAUGGAUCAAUUCAUGAUCAAAAACACCAAGUUUAGAUAAUGGUUGGGCAUAUAAAGUACAUUCAUCUCUUAGAAAAGUAAUUGCAAAUCGAAGAGUCAAACUAAGACACAUGCUGCUCUUACACAUAAUUAAUUGAAGCAGUUUGAGCAAAAAAAGUUACAGUUUAUUUGGAGUUCUUGUUAACACUGGUUAAGACUUAAGAGAGAGAAAUUGUCAUAUACUACAC
RNAcentral lists this long non-coding RNA (245 nucleotides) under Elaeis guineensis (African oil palm). RNAcentral's name for it is "long non-coding RNA (EGUI_LNC081126)". The record is from RNAcentral. Lineage: Eukaryota; Viridiplantae; Streptophyta; Magnoliopsida; Arecales; Arecaceae.